AUGAUUCAAGAUGAGGUUUUUGGUUCCUCGGAUUCGGACGAAGAAGUGGACAUGAUCAUGCUCAUGAGCAUGCAAGAGGAAAUGGACUGGCAGGCGGAGCAUAUUCUCAACUUCAAGGGCUCAAUCAAAGGAAGAAGCGUGAUCAAUCGGGAUAGAGUAUUUGGAGCACGGCUAUUGCAGAAGGACUACUUUGUUCCGAACCCAACUUUCCGGAUGAUCCAUGGUUUCAUCGCCGUUUUCGCAUGCGGAAACCAUUGUUCUUGCGCAUUAUGGAGGAAGUGGAGGCACACGAUGACUACUUCAAACUCAAAAGGGAUUGUUGCAGCCAACUUUCUUUCUCUGCUAAGCAGAAGUGCACGGCUGCUCUGA
RNAcentral lists this ribosomal RNA (369 nucleotides) under Triticum aestivum (bread wheat). RNAcentral describes it as "partial small subunit ribosomal RNA". Lineage: Eukaryota; Viridiplantae; Streptophyta; Magnoliopsida; Poales; Poaceae. The record is from RNAcentral.